AGUCUAGUGCUAAAUACAUCGAGGCCAGGACACGCGACCCGAGAAAGCGUCGAUUCAAUCAAACAAAAACCAAGUGCCAAGUGCCGUGUGAAGAGGCCACAAACAACUAACUAACUAACUGCCUCCAGAAACUGUGCGAUUCUAACCAAAGCCAAAAAUAAAUAUAAAAAAGUUACCAGUGCAUCAGUGCCCGGGAAAAAGACUUAAAGCAAACAGCAGGCGAAGUGAAUAAACCAUAAACAAAACCCCCGAAAAUAAACCGAAAGCAGGGAAAAAACGAAAUUUAAACGUCUGUGCAUAUUAAUCAGAACGAGAAACGUGAACAGGAUCACGUCCUAGACAACUUAUCACAGAGGAUUUACGCAGACAGACAAACGCAGGACGCGAAUGCGAGUGUAGAGCAAAAGGCAGCGCUAAUCAACGACCAAACCAGACGACAUCCUUACCGACUGGCCACGCCCACAACUCCCCCUCGAAUAGGAGAAAAAAAAAACCACCAGAAGCCUGGGAGGAGAAGAGCAGAAGCCGCCUCAUUUGGCCACUGCGGAUUAUGUUAAUUAGAUUUUAAGCACGCGAUAACAAAAACGCCGAGGGAGCACUUGGCAUUGUAAUGUGACAACAGUUGGCUAAGGACAACAAAACAAUACCAAAAGCGGGCCAUCAGGAGUAGCUGGAAUGCUCGCUUUUUAAUUGACAUUUGCUCGAGUUGAGUUGCGUUUUGUUCAACAGCAAUUAGCAUCGUGAAAAAAAAUAAAUGAAAACACAAAAAAAAACGCAGAGCAAAACACAAAGCAGUGCAAUUAAAAUUGUAAAACAAUUGCAGAACGUUGAAUUGAAAAGGGGGAAACAAUAACAGACGACGUCGACCCGGAAUAGAACGAUCAAGUUGAUUUAAUUAAAAAUUCAGCAUCAACCUCGCCAGCAUCAACCAGCGUCCAGCAGCCAACAUCCAGCAUCAGCAGCCGUGUGCAAUGGCAUUUGAGCACGCUGCUUGAGCAAUGGCCGCCGGACCGGAAACGCAGCCAUUGCCCUCGGGCAACAUCCGCCUCUGACUGCCGCCGACACUUGUCACAUGUUUGGCCAAAAAGGCGCGCACGUGACGCCCCCGGAAAACCAGAUGAACGAACGGAUGAACGAGGAAAUGAAUGAGCUAGCAGCCAUAUUCAAAAUUGAACGUUAAACGUUCGCACGUACCGAGCAUAAAUUCCAAGUGAAAUAAAAGAGCC
Molecule: long non-coding RNA, 1226 nt
Filed under: Drosophila melanogaster (fruit fly)
Lineage: Eukaryota; Metazoa; Arthropoda; Insecta; Diptera; Drosophilidae
Description: long non-coding RNA:CR45109 (Dmel_CR45109)
Source: RNAcentral